GUUUGACCUCAAAUCAGG
RNAcentral lists this ribosomal RNA (18 nucleotides) under Saccharomyces cerevisiae (brewer's yeast). RNAcentral describes it as "partial 26S ribosomal RNA". The record is from RNAcentral. Lineage: Eukaryota; Fungi; Ascomycota; Saccharomycetes; Saccharomycetales; Saccharomycetaceae. RNAcentral also lists the same sequence under 1 other name.